This 290-nucleotide ribosomal RNA is filed under the name uncultured bacterium. RNAcentral describes it as "partial 16S ribosomal RNA". It matches the Rfam family "Bacterial small subunit ribosomal RNA", at positions 773 to 1060 of the family's 1533-position model. The record is from RNAcentral.
GUGGAUUAGAUACCCUAGUAGUCCACGCUGUAAACGAUGUGUGCUAGACGUUGGGGGGUUGCCCUCCGGUGUCGCAGUCAACGCGUUAAGCACACCGCCUGGGGAGUACGGUCGCAAGAUUAAAACUCAAAGGAAUUGACGGGGGCCCGCACAAGCGGUGGAGCAUGUGGUUUAAUUCGACGCAACGCGAAGAACCUUACCAGCUCUUGACAUGGGUAGUAUGGACCUGGGCGACUGGGUCCUUCAGUUCGGCUGGCUACCACACAGGUGCUGCAUGGCUGUCGUCAGCU